Molecule: ribosomal RNA, 1260 nt
Filed under: Staphylinoidea sp. 11 KM-2017
Lineage: Eukaryota; Metazoa; Arthropoda; Insecta; Coleoptera
Description: 16S ribosomal RNA
Rfam family: Archaeal large subunit ribosomal RNA (bases 1021-1179)
Source: RNAcentral
AUUUUUUUUAUUAAUUUUUAAUGAUUAAUUUAACAUGUUUGAGUUUUAGUAGGUUAAUUGAAAAAAUUAAAGUAUUUAUAGAAAAUUAGUAUAGUGAUAGAAAUAACUAAAAAUUUUUUAAAGAAUUUUUUAUUUGAAGUACCUUGUGUAUCAGGGUUUAUUAAAUUUUAUAAUUUAUAUUAAAGUCUCGAUUCUAAAAGAGUUAAUUUUAUAAAAUUUUUAUUGUAUAAUAACUAUUUUAAAUAUAAUAUUAGUAAUGAAAAGUUAAGCGAUUUUGGAUAUAUCUAGUUAUUAAAGAAAAAAAUUUAAUUUUAUUAUAAUUAUGUAUUAAUAUUAAUUUCAAUAUAAAUAUUAAUUAUAUUAAAAAUUUUUGGGGAUUAGCUUAGAAAUUUAUUUAUAAAAAUUUAUAUUAAAAGAUAAAUUUAUAGAAUUAGAAUUUUUUAUUUUAAUAUUUUAUAAUUAAUUUAUUUUAUAUUAUGAUUUAUUGAGUUUUAUUUAUUUAUUUAAUUAUUUCAAUUAAUUUUUAAUUAAAAGUAAUAAUGAUAAAAUUAGUAUAAGAUUUUUUUGUAAAAUUAUUUAUUUAGAAAAGAUUAAGUAAAGGAAUUCGGCAAAUUUAUUUUUCGCCUGUUUAUUAAAAACAUGUCUUUUUGAAUAUAAUUUAAAGUCUAAUCUGCCCAUUGAGGGAUUAAAAGGCCGCAGUAUUUUGACUGUGCAAAGGUAGCAUAAUAAUUAGUUUUUUAAUUGAAAGCUAGAAUGAAUGAUUGGACGAGAAAAUAGCUGUCUCUAUUUAAAAUUUUAAAAUUUUAUUUUUAAGUUAAAAAGCUUAAAUUUUUAUGAAAGACGAGAAGACCCUUUAGAGUUUUAUAUAUUAUUAUUAUUAGUUAGUUAGUAUAAAUUGAUUAUUAGUUGGAUUAUAUUUUAUUGGGGUGAUAUAAAAAUUUAAUUAACUUUUUAAGAUUUAAACAUUAUUUUAUGAAUAAUUGAUUCUUAGUAAAGAUUAAAAGAUUAAAUUACCUAAGGGAUAACAGCGUAAUAUUUUUAGAGAGUUCUUAUUAAUAGAAAUGUUUGCGACCUCGAUGUUGGAUUAAAUUUAAUUAUAGGUGCAAAAGCUUAUAAAUUUGGUCUGUUCGACCAUUAAAAAUUUACAUGAUCUGAGUUUAGACCGGUGUGAGCCAGGUUGGUUUCUAUCUUUAUAAUAUUUUAAUAUUUUAGUACGAAAGGACCAAAUAUUAGUAUAAAAUAUUUAUUUAGAAUAAAUGU